UACACUCCUACGGGAGGCAGCAGUGGGGAAUUUUGGACAAUGGGCGAAAGCCUGAUCCAGCCAUGCCGCGUGCAGGAUGAAGGCCUUCGGGUUGUAAACUGCUUUUGUACGGAACGAAACGGCCUUUUCUAAUAAAGAGGGCUAAUGACGUUACCGUAAGAAUAAGCACCGGCUAACUACGUGCCAGCAGCCGCGGUAAUACGUAGGGUGCAAGCGUUAAUCGGAAUUACUGGGCGUAAAGCGUGCGCAGGCGGUUAUGUAAGACAGUUGUGAAAUCCCCGGGCUCAACCUGGGAACUGCAUCUGUGACUGCAUAGCUAGAGUACGGUAGAGGGGGAUGGAAUUCCGCGUGUAGCAGUGAAAUGCGUAGAUAUGCGGAGGAACACCGAUGGCGAAGGCAAUCCCCUGGACCUGUACUGACGCUCAUGCACGAAAGCGUGGGGAGCAAACAGGAUUAGAUACCCCUGUAGUCCC
This 473-nucleotide ribosomal RNA is filed under the name uncultured organism. RNAcentral describes it as "partial 16S ribosomal RNA". It matches the Rfam family "Bacterial small subunit ribosomal RNA", at positions 332 to 797 of the family's 1533-position model. The record is from RNAcentral.